GGACUACUAGGGUUUCUAAUCCUGUUUGCUCCCCUAGCUUUCGUGCCUCAGUGUCAGGAGUCGUCCAGGGACUCGCCUUCGCCACUGGUGUUCCUCUCGAUAUCUACGCAUUUCACUGCUACACCGAGAAUUCCAGUCCCCCCUCCGACCCUCGAUCAGGGUAGUUUCCAAUGCAGUUUCGGAGUUGAGCUCCGAGAUUUCACAUCCGACUUACCCCGCCACCUACGCACCCUUUACGCCCAGUGAAUCCGAACAACGCUUGGGACCUCUGUAUUACCGCGGCUGCUGGCAC
Molecule: ribosomal RNA, 292 nt
Filed under: uncultured bacterium
Lineage: Bacteria
Also listed under: 1 other name
Description: partial 16S ribosomal RNA
Source: RNAcentral